This is a non-coding RNA of Mycena alexandri, 85 nucleotides long. Lineage: Eukaryota; Fungi; Basidiomycota; Agaricomycetes; Agaricales; Mycenaceae. The record is from the annotation of a GenBank genome assembly.
GGUCUCUUAGCUCAGUUGGUAGUGCACCUAGUCCUGUAUUUUGCCCGAAUGCACGCGGUCGCGGGUUCGAUCCCGUCAGGAAACA